Dioscorea cayenensis subsp. rotundata (Guinea yam) is the source of this 548-nucleotide long non-coding RNA. RefSeq lists it as uncharacterized. The transcript is spliced from 2 exons. The record is from RefSeq and is a predicted model, not a curated record. NCBI's taxonomy places the organism in Eukaryota, Viridiplantae, Streptophyta, Magnoliopsida, Dioscoreales, Dioscoreaceae.
CUCUUCUACAAACAUUUGGGAUUAUCCGAAGUGCACGUUUGGAAUUUAGAUUUGAUAACCUUCUUGUGUUGAAGUUUGACAGCAUUCCAGGUUGCUGGACACGUGACUGAAGAAGGUGAGUUGGUUAAUUCAGGACACGUGGACGAUGGGAUAGAAGCGGUGGAAGAGGUAUCAACGGUGGAGAAGAAGCCCAGGAAAAAUAGAGGAAAGAGGGAACAGGAUGCAUUCUGGAAGGAUUUCGUCUUCACGGACUGGAGAAAGAUAAAAGGGGAAGGUGAGGAACCAGGGGCAUCAUCAAAGAAAUAGGAAAGGAAGAGGCCCGACUCGUCGAGGAGGGAAGAGGCCGGCGAUCUCGUCGGAGUUCUGGUUAUUGUUCUAUAAUUUCUUGUUUCUUGAUACCUUGCUGUUAAUAAUCCAGAUUAGAGAGGAACUCUAUCAAUUUUCUAGUUGAAUGGGCAGGUUAACUUGUUGUUUGCCCAGAACUUGAUUUGAUCUUUGUUUGGAUGCUUUUCUUUGCAAUGAAUUGAGCUAAAUCGGCUCUUAGACGG